GCCUGGGUGGCUCAGUCUGUUAAGCAUCUGACUUCAGCUCAGGUCAUGAUUUCACGGUUCAUGGGUUCAAGCCCCACAUCAGGUU
Molecule: non-coding RNA, 85 nt
Organism: Felis catus (domestic cat)
Lineage: Eukaryota; Metazoa; Chordata; Mammalia; Carnivora; Felidae
Source: Rfam